Molecule: ribosomal RNA, 896 nt
Filed under: Fusarium proliferatum
Lineage: Eukaryota; Fungi; Ascomycota; Sordariomycetes; Hypocreales; Nectriaceae
Description: LSU rRNA
Rfam family: Eukaryotic large subunit ribosomal RNA
Source: RNAcentral
GCAAUCAAUAAGCGGAGGAAAAGAAACCAACAGGGAUUGCCCUUAGUAACGGCGAAGUGAAGCGGCAACAGCUCAAAUUUGAAAUCUGGCUCUCGGGCCCGAGUUGUAAUUUGUAGAGGAUACUUUUGAUGCGGUGCCUUCCGAGUUCCCUGGAACGGGACGCCAUAGAGGGUGAGAGCCCCGUCUGGUUGGAUGCCAAAUCUCUGUAAAGUUCCUUCGACGAGUCGAGUAGUUUGGGAAUGCUGCUCUAAAUGGGAGGUAUAUGUCUUCUAAAGCUAAAUACCGGCCAGAGACCGAUAGCGCACAAGUAGAGUGAUCGAAAGAUGAAAAGCACUUUGAAAAGAGAGUUAAAAAGUACGUGAAAUUGUUGAAAGGGAAGCGUUUAUGACCAGACUUGGGCUUGGUUAAUCAUCUGGGGUUCUCCCCAGUGCACUUUUCCAGUCCAGGCCAGCAUCAGUUUUCCCCGGGGGAUAAAGACUUCGGGAAUGUGGCUCUCUUCGGGGAGUGUUAUAGCCCGUUGUGUAAUACCCUGGGGGGGACUGAGGUUCGCGCAUCUGCAAGGAUGCUGGCGUAAUGGUCAUCAACGACCCGUCUUGAAACACGGACCAAGGAGUCGUCUUCGUAUGCGAGUGUUCGGGUGUCAAACCCCUACGCGUAAUGAAAGUGAACGCAGGUGAGAGCUUCGGCGCAUCAUCGACCGAUCCUGAUGUUCUCGGAUGGAUUUGAGUAAGAGCAUACGGGGCCGGACCCGAAAGAAGGUGAACUAUGCCUGUAUAGGGUGAAGCCAGAGGAAACUCUGGUGGAGGCUUCGCAGCGGUUUCUGACGUGCAAAUCGAUCGUCAAAUAAUGGGCAUGGGGGCGAAAGACUAAUCGAACCUUCUAGUAGCUGGUUCCGC